RNAcentral lists this ribosomal RNA (261 nucleotides) under Klebsiella ornithinolytica. Its description in RNAcentral is "partial 23S ribosomal RNA". It matches the Rfam family "Bacterial large subunit ribosomal RNA", at positions 2108 to 2368 of the family's 2925-position model. Lineage: Bacteria; Pseudomonadati; Pseudomonadota; Gammaproteobacteria; Enterobacterales; Enterobacteriaceae. The record is from RNAcentral. RNAcentral also lists the same sequence under 1 other name.
AGCUUGACACUGAACAUUGAGCCUUGAUGUGUAGGAUAGGUGGGAGGCUUUGAAGCGUGGACGCCAGUCUGCGUGGAGCCAACCUUGAAAUACCACCCUUUAAUGUUUGAUGUUCUAACGUAGACCCCUAAUCGGGGUUGCGGACAGUGUCUGGUGGGUAGUUUGACUGGGGCGGUCUCCUCCCAAAGAGUAACGGAGGAGCACGAAGGUUAGCUAAUCCUGGUCGGACAUCAGGAGGUUAGUGCAAUGGCAUAAGCUAGC